CAGCGCGGCCGCGGGCGGCAGCCGGGGCGGGCUGCACCUGCCGCCACCGCGGGCUCCAUGGCAACCGCGCCGUAGCGCGGCGGCCGCGCCGAAGGGGUCGCGAAAGAGCGGAAACCCACGAGGCGCGGCGGGCGCCGGGCCGGAGGGCGGCUGCGGGGCCGCCGCGCUGAGGUGACAUGGUGCCUGUCUCUCCCCCCCCCCGGCCCGCCACCGCGCUGAGGGGUCGCAGUGAAGUUCAUUAUGUCUCUGGGACUGCUGCAGCUGGACACCAGCAUCUCUGGGGAAGGGAAGGUGGUUGAAGCAUCAGGCUACCCUGUACGUCUCAGACUUGAUGUACAUCUAAGGCCAUGAAACACUCUUUGAAGUCAUCCCAAGUCAUUUUUAUAAGGAAAUCACCCACCAAUAACUACAGGCUACUUCCAUUUCUUACCUGCAGGGCUGCUUGGCACAUGUCUACUAAGCCCUGAAUGAGAUAAUAUUUGGCUUCUGCCAUCAACUCUUUGACCUCCUGUCUGUGUUUUGGAAGUGCAAUUGUGUCAUCUCGGAGAUAGUUUAGAAUUGUUCCAAAGUGCUUCCCACAACGGUCUAUAAGGAUCCAGCCUAAAAAAUAACCAUCAUAACAUUUCAAUCACCUUAACACUGGCAGGCAAACAAUAUUUCUUCAGAGGGAUUAAACAUGGGAAGUGUAUUCAAGCCUCAUAAGCUCACAGAGCCCACUGAAACUUCCCUGAAACUGCAUAUGAUUUGUUUCCCAUUUCAUUUAAUGGAAGUCUUUACUGACUUUGAGCAAACUGAAUUUGGUUACAGAACAGAAAAUAACAAGGAAAUUGCUCUUUUGGUACCACCUGUAUAUUCUCGCUACUUUUCAGCACCCCAGAAGAAAAAUCCAGCUUAAAAACAAACAAACAAAAAAUCAAAAACACUCAGCUUUCUCUGAAGAGACAUUAAAAUCCCUGCAAGAACCUGACUAUAUUGUGUCUAUUGAUCAGUCCAUGUGUGGCCUGACCAAAAUUAUUUUCUUUGUUUGAUCCUUUCUGUAUUAGGAAUGGAUCUUUUUAACUACUAUAUAAAAUUAUCAGUUUGCAUUUUUACAGAGCUCUAUUUAACUACCUGACCAAGCAGUUCAAACCUUAAAAAAAGCUUAUUGUUAGGUAAGCUGCUUGUUUUAUUUAGACGCCCAGCAUACUCAUGGCAAAAUAGAGUUUCACUAUAUUUGUAAGGAAAUAAACGUAAAAACUGUU
Rhea pennata is the source of this 1241-nucleotide long non-coding RNA. RefSeq lists it as uncharacterized. Lineage: Eukaryota; Metazoa; Chordata; Aves; Rheiformes; Rheidae. The transcript is spliced from 3 exons. The record is from RefSeq and is a predicted model, not a curated record.